CCAGGAGCUAAAAUAAGCUGAAUUCAGCUGCUUCUCACAGGCGUUGGCAGUGCCUGAAAACUAAGCGUGGAGAACGCCGCCCCUCUGCACCAGGAGAAAGCAGGGCUUCUGAAACACGUCCGGAGUAAUGCUCGCCACCGGGCGCUGGUCUCCCCUGAGCUAGCGAGGCUGGCUCCCUCUGCCCGGGGCAUGCAAGGUGAAGGCUGCCCGCCUCGGGUGAGGAGCCUGCUGGGCUCGCCCCCAGUCCCUGGACCCGGAACACAGAGCAGAGGUGCUGGAAGGCUGGCCGCAGAAGCCGGGCGCACUCCAGAGCCCGGGGAUCGGGAAGCCUGGGCAGGGCCAGUCAGUGCCGGGCUGGACGUCCCCUUGUUCUGCAAACACCUUGGGCUUCAGCCUUGGCAUCCGGUUAAGCUUCAAAGAGGAUGUAAAGUCACUGGAAAUCACAGCUGGGUGGACAGUGGAAGCCAAACAAGAGCAUGCGUCAACGUUCAGUGGGAAAUCUUGUGUUUUUUCUGAAUUAGGUGGCUGCUCUGAUCUGCUUUGCAUGUUGGUUGCUGACAGAUCCACCACAAUUUGUUUGAUUAGAAAAAUAAAAAGAACCCAACACUCA
This is a long non-coding RNA of Psammomys obesus (fat sand rat), 610 nucleotides long. RefSeq lists it as uncharacterized. The transcript is spliced from 2 exons. NCBI's taxonomy places the organism in Eukaryota, Metazoa, Chordata, Mammalia, Rodentia, Muridae. The record is from RefSeq and is a predicted model, not a curated record.